RNAcentral lists this transfer RNA (75 nucleotides) under Candidatus Woesearchaeota archaeon. Its description in RNAcentral is "tRNA-Val". It matches the Rfam family "tRNA". Rfam says of the family: Transfer RNA (tRNA) molecules are approximately 80 nucleotides in length. Their secondary structure includes four short double-helical elements and three loops (D, anti-codon, and T loops). Lineage: Archaea; Nanobdellati; Candidatus Woesearchaeota. The record is from RNAcentral.
GGGCCCAUGGUCUAGAGGCAUGACAUCUCGUUUACACCGAGAAGGUCGAGUGUUCGAAUCACUCUGGGCCCACCA